Molecule: small RNA, 409 nt
Filed under: Pan troglodytes (chimpanzee)
Lineage: Eukaryota; Metazoa; Chordata; Mammalia; Primates; Hominidae
Description: retained intron
Source: RNAcentral
GCUGAGUCUUUUUUUUCUUUUAAGGUAAUCCAGAAAUAGACAACAAGAAAUAUUACAAGUACAGCAAAGAGAAGACAUUAAAGUGGCUGGAAAAAAAGGUUAAUCAAACUGUGGCAGCAUUAAAAACCAAUAAUGUGAAUGUCAGUUCCCGGGUACAGUCAACUGCAUUUUUCUCUGGUGACCAAGCUUCCACUGACAAGGAAGAGGAUUAUAUUCGUUAUGCCCAUGGUCUGAUAUCUGACUACAUCCCUAAAGAAUUAAGUGAUGACUUAUCUAAAUACUUAAAGCUUCCAGAACCUUCAGCCUCAUUGCCAAAUCCUCCAUCAAAGAAAAUAAAGUUAUCAGAUGAGCCUGUAGAAGCAAAAGAAGAUUACACUAAGUUUAAUACUAAAGAUUUGAAGACUGAAAA